UACGUAGGGUGCGAGCGUUAAUCGGAAUUACUGGGCGUAAAGCGUGCGCAGGCGGUGCACCAAGCUCGAUGUGAAAGCCCCGGGCUUAACCUGGGAAUUGCAUUGAGGACUGGUGUGCUCGAGUGCGGCAGAGGGGGGUGGAAUUCCACGUGUAGCAGUGAAAUGCGCAGAUAUCAGGAGGAACACCAAUUGCGAAGGCAGCUCGCUGGGACGUUACUGACGCUGAGACGCGAAAGCGUGGGGAGCAAACAGG
RNAcentral lists this ribosomal RNA (253 nucleotides) under uncultured bacterium. RNAcentral's name for it is "partial 16S ribosomal RNA". It matches the Rfam family "Bacterial small subunit ribosomal RNA", at positions 524 to 776 of the family's 1533-position model. The record is from RNAcentral.